UACGUAGGGUGCGAGCGUUGUCCGGAAUUAUUGGGCGUAAAGAGCUCGUAGGCGGUGUGUCACGUCGAUCGUGAAAACUUACAGCUUAACUGUGAGCGUGCGGUCGAUACGGGCAUCACUGGAGUUCGGCAGGGGAGACUGGAAUUCCUGGUGUAGCGGUGAAAUGCGCAGAUAUCAGGAGGAACACCGGUGGCGAAGGCGGGUCUCUGGGCCGAUACUGACGCUGAGGAGCGAAAGCGUGGGGAGCGAACGGG
RNAcentral lists this ribosomal RNA (254 nucleotides) under uncultured bacterium. Its description in RNAcentral is "partial 16S ribosomal RNA". It matches the Rfam family "Bacterial small subunit ribosomal RNA", at positions 524 to 776 of the family's 1533-position model. The record is from RNAcentral.